GACGAACGCUGGCGGCGUGCUUAACACAUGCAAGUCGAACGGAAAGGCCCUGCUUUUGUGGGGUGCUCGAGUGGCGAACGGGUGAGUAACACGUGAGUAACCUGCCCUUGACUUUGGGAUAACUUCAGGAAACUGGGGCUAAUACCGGAUAGGAGCUCCUGCUGCAUGGUGGGGGUUGGAAAGGUUCGGCGGUUGGGGAUGGACUCGCGGCUUAUCAGCUUGUUGGUGGGGUAGUGGCUUACCAAGGCUUUGACGGGUAGCCGGCCUGAGAGGGUGACCGGCCACACUGGGACUGAGAUACGGCCCAGACUCCUACGGGAGGCAGCAGUGGGGAAUAUUGCACAAUGGGCGGAAGCCUGAUGCAGCAACGCCGCGUGCGGGAUGACGGCCUUCGGGUUGUAAACCGCUUUCGCCUGUGACGAAGCGUGAGUGACGGUAAUGGGUAAAGAAGCACCGGCUAACUACGUG
RNAcentral lists this ribosomal RNA (468 nucleotides) under uncultured bacterium. RNAcentral's name for it is "partial 16S ribosomal RNA". It matches the Rfam family "Bacterial small subunit ribosomal RNA", at positions 28 to 507 of the family's 1533-position model. The record is from RNAcentral.